UUNUGAACUGGGUGACUAGAGUGUNUCAGAGGGAGGUAGAAUUCCACGUGUAGCAGUGGAAUGCGUAGAGAUGUGGAGGAAUACCGAUGGCGAAGGCAGCCUCCUGGGAUAACACUGACGUUCAUGCUCGAAAGCGUGGGUAGCAAACAGGAUUAGAUACCCUGGUAGUCCACGCCCUAAACGAUGUCAAUUAGCUGUUGGGCAACUUGAUUGCUUAGUAGCGUAGCUAACGCGUGAAAUUGACCGCCUGGGGAGUACGGUCGCAAGAUUAAAACUCAAAGGAAUUGACGGGGACCCGCACAAGCGGUGGAUGAUGUGGAUUAAUUCGAUGCAACGCGAAGAACCUUACCUGGUCUUGACAUGUACGGAAUCCUCCAGAGACGGAGGAGUGCCUUCGGGAGCCGUAACACAGGUGCUGCAUGGCUGUCGUCAGCUCGUGUCGUGAGAUGUUGGGUUAAGUCCCGCAACGAGCGCAACCCUUGUCAUUAGUUGCCAUCAUUUAGUUGGGCACUCUAAUGAGACUGCCGGUGACAAGCCGGAGGAAGGUGGGGAUGACGUCAAGUCCUCAUGGCCCUUAUGACCAGGGCUUCACACGUCAUACAAUGGUCGGUACAGAGGGUAGCCAAGCCGCGAGGUGGAGCCAAUCUCACAAAACCGAUCGUAGUCCGGAUUGCACUCUGCAACUCGAGUGCAUGAAGUCGGAAUCGCUAGUAAUCGCAGGUCAGCAUACUGCGGUGAAUACGUUCCCGGGUCUUGUACACACCGCCCGUCACACCAUGGGAGUGGGGGAUACCAGAAGUAGGUAGGGUA
Molecule: ribosomal RNA, 810 nt
Filed under: uncultured bacterium
Lineage: Bacteria
Description: bacterial SSU rRNA
Rfam family: Bacterial small subunit ribosomal RNA
Source: RNAcentral